RNAcentral lists this ribosomal RNA (406 nucleotides) under uncultured bacterium. RNAcentral describes it as "partial 16S ribosomal RNA". It matches the Rfam family "Bacterial small subunit ribosomal RNA", at positions 30 to 526 of the family's 1533-position model. The record is from RNAcentral.
AUUGAACGCUGGCGGCAUGCUUUACACAUGCAAGUCGGACGAGUGGCGGACGGGUGAGUAAUAUCUGGGGACGUACCGAGUAAAGGGGGAUAACUACUCGAAAGAUUAGCUAAUACCGCAUAUUAUUCGAGCUGCCGAUAUCUGAUUAGCUAGUUGGUGGGGUAAAGGCUUACCAAGGCGACGAUCAGUAGCGGGUCUGAGAGGAUGAUCAGCCACACUGGGACUGAGACACGGCCCAGACUCCUACGGGAGGCAGCAUUGGGGAAUUGUGGACAAUGGGCGCAAGCCUGAUACAGCCAUGCCGCGUGUCUGAAGAAGGCCUUCGGGUUGUAAAGGACGUUCGUCAGGGAAGCGGUACCUGAAGAAUAAGCAACGGCUAACUACGUGCCAGCCGCCGCGGUAAUUC